This 68-nucleotide transfer RNA is filed under the name Marmota monax (woodchuck). Its description in RNAcentral is "tRNA.Ala". Lineage: Eukaryota; Metazoa; Chordata; Mammalia; Rodentia; Sciuridae. The record is from RNAcentral.
GCUGGCGCUCAGCGGUAGAGCCCUCGCCUAGCGUGUGUGAGGCCUUGGGUUCGAUCCUCAGCACCGCA